AAGACCUUGCGCUUUUGGAGCGGCCGAUGCCUGAUUAGCUUGUUGGUAAGGUAAAAGCUUACCAAGGCUUCGAUCAGUAGCUGGUCUGAGAGGACGGCCAGCCACACUGGGACUGAGACACGGCCCAGACUCCUACGGGAGGCAGCAGUGGGGAAUUUUGGACAAUGGGGGCAACCCUGAUCCAGCCAUGCCGCGUGAGUGAAGAAGGCCUUCGGGUUGUAAAGCUCUUUCAGCCGGGAAGAAAAGGUUGCGAUUAAUAAUCGCAAUUUAUGACGGUACCGGAAGAAGAAGCACCGGCUAACUACGUGCCAGCAGCCGCGGUAAUACGUAGGGUGCGAGCGUUAAUCGGAAUUACUGGGCGUAAAGGGUGCGCAGGCGGUUUUGUAAGUCAGAUGUGAAAUCCCCGGGCUUAACCUGGGAACU
This 423-nucleotide ribosomal RNA is filed under the name uncultured bacterium. RNAcentral describes it as "bacterial SSU rRNA". It matches the Rfam family "Bacterial small subunit ribosomal RNA", at positions 207 to 622 of the family's 1533-position model. The record is from RNAcentral.